RNAcentral lists this ribosomal RNA (496 nucleotides) under uncultured bacterium. Its description in RNAcentral is "partial 16S ribosomal RNA". It matches the Rfam family "Bacterial small subunit ribosomal RNA", at positions 29 to 507 of the family's 1533-position model. The record is from RNAcentral.
AUGAACGCUGGCGGCGUGCCUAAUACAUGCCAGUCGAGCGAACAGACGAGGAGCUUGCUCCUCUGACGUUAGCGGCGGACGGGUGAGUAACACGUUGAUAACCUACCUAUAAGACUGGGAUAACUUCGGGAAACCGGAGCUAAUACCGGAUAAUAUAUUGAACCGCAUGGUUCAAUAGUGAAAGACGGUUUUGCUGUCACUUAUAGAUGGAUCCGCGCCGCAUUAGCUAGUUGGUAAGGUAACGGCUUACCAAGGCAACGAUGCGUAGCCGACCUGAGAGGGUGAUCGGCCACACUGGAACUGAGACACGGUCCAGACUCCUACGGGAGGCAGCAGUAGGGAAUCUUCCGCAAUGGGCGAAAGCCUGACGGAGCAACGCCGCGUGAGUGAUGAAGGUCUUCGGAUCGUAAAACUCUGUUAUUAGGGAAGAACAAAUGUGUAAGUAACUAUGCACGUCUUGACGGUACCUAAUCAGAAAGCCACGGCUAACUACGUG